GAGCUGAUUUGCAUAUGAAGUCCUUAUACAACAGCCCAGGCUCCUUUAAGGGCAGCUUCCAGGAGCCUAAGAACCAGCCUCUCUUCCAGCUUUCAGAGAUGGAGACAGACACACUCCUGCUAUGGGUGCUGCUGCUCUGGGUUCCAGGUUCCACUGGUGACAUUGUGCUGACCCAGUCUCCUGCUUUGGCUGUGUCUCUAGAGCAGAGAGCCACCAUCUCUUGCAAAACCAGCCAGAAUGUCGAUAAUUAUGGCAUUAGUUAUAUGCACUGGUACCAACAGAAACCAGGACAGCAACCCAAACUCCUCAUCUAUGAAGGAUCCAACUUAGCAUCUGGGAUCCCUGCCAGGUUCAGUGGCAGUGGGUCUGGGACAGACUUCACCCUCACCAUCGAUCCUGUGGAGGCUGAUGAUAUUGCAACCUAUUACUGUCAGCAGAGUAAGGAUUAUCCUCCCACAGUGCUCCAGGGCUGAACAAAAACCUUCUGGGG
Rattus norvegicus (Norway rat) is the source of this 490-nucleotide non-coding RNA. The record is from the annotation of a RefSeq genome assembly. NCBI's taxonomy places the organism in Eukaryota, Metazoa, Chordata, Mammalia, Rodentia, Muridae.